UACGGAGGGUGCAAACGUUGCUCGGAAUCAUUGGGCGUAAAGCGCACGUAGGUGGCCUGUUAAGUCGGGUGUGAAAGCCCUCGGCUCAACCGAGGAAGUGCAUUCGAAACUGGCAGGCUUGAGUAUGGAAGAGGGUCGUGGAAUUCCCGGUGUAGAGGUGAAAUUCGUAGAUAUCGGGAGGAACACCAGUGGCGAAGGCGGCGACCUGGGCCAAUACUGACACUGAGGUGCGAAAGCGUGGGGAGCAAACAGG
This 253-nucleotide ribosomal RNA is filed under the name uncultured bacterium. Its description in RNAcentral is "partial 16S ribosomal RNA". It matches the Rfam family "Bacterial small subunit ribosomal RNA", at positions 524 to 776 of the family's 1533-position model. The record is from RNAcentral.